This 365-nucleotide unclassified non-coding RNA is filed under the name fungal sp. Its description in RNAcentral is "partial internal transcribed spacer region". The stretch from base 1 to 46 matches the Rfam family "Eukaryotic small subunit ribosomal RNA", at positions 1786 to 1831 of the family's 1831-position model. Lineage: Eukaryota; Fungi. The record is from RNAcentral.
AAGUCGUAACAAGGUUUCCGUAGGUGAACCUGCGGAAGGAUCAUUAACACAUCCUUUUCUAUAUCAUGCCUUGUCGCACUGGGAACCAUCAUGAAGGAAGGCCGGGAAGUGCAACGGAUUGAUUUAUGACUUGUUCAUAACUGGCCUACAGGAUAGCGGACAACCCUUGUGGUUGAGCUGCAGCUUUCUUUAUGGUGGCAUACAGCGUCAAUUCCUCGCUGGACCUUUUUUUUUAAACCUUGAAUUAAUGUUUUGAAUUGGCUGGGAUCGAGAAGGGCUCUCUGAGUCUGCCUCUCUUGGCUUUUGAUGGAGAAAUCCAUUCAAUAACUAAAACACAACUCUUAACAGCGGAUAUCUCGGUUCUC